This 520-nucleotide ribosomal RNA is filed under the name uncultured Glomus. RNAcentral's name for it is "SSU rRNA". It matches the Rfam family "Eukaryotic small subunit ribosomal RNA", at positions 569 to 1090 of the family's 1831-position model. The record is from RNAcentral. Lineage: Eukaryota; Fungi; Glomeromycota; Glomeromycetes; Glomerales; Glomeraceae.
AGCAGCCGCGGUAAUUCCAGCUCCAAUAGCGUAUAUUAAAGUUGUUGCAGUUAAAAAGCUCGUAGUUGAAUUUCGGGGUUAGUAGGUUGGUCAUGCCUCUGGUAUGUACUGGUCUCACUGAUUCCUCCUUCCUGAUGAGCCGUAAUGCCAUUAAUUUGGUGUUGCGGGGAAUUUGGACUGUUACUUUGAAAAAAUUAGAGUGUUUAAAGCAAGCUAACGCUUGAAUACAUUAGCAUGGAAUAAUGAAAUAGGACGUUCGAUCCUAUUUUGUUGGUUUCUAGGAUUGACGUAAUGAUUAAUAGGGAUAGUUGGGGGCAUUAGUAUUCAAUUGUCAGAGGUGAAAUUCUUGGAUUUAUUGAAGACUAACUACUGCGAAAGCAUUUGCCAAGGAUGUUUUCAUUAAUCAAGAACGAAAGUUAGGGGAUCGAAGACGAUCAGAUACCGUCGUAGUCUUAACCAUAAACUAUGCCGACUAGGGAUCGGAUGAUGUUAAUUUUUAAUGAACUCAUUCGGCGCCUUA